RNAcentral lists this long non-coding RNA (397 nucleotides) under Piliocolobus tephrosceles (Ugandan red Colobus). RNAcentral's name for it is "lncRNA (ENSPTEG00000024822.1)". The record is from RNAcentral. Lineage: Eukaryota; Metazoa; Chordata; Mammalia; Primates; Cercopithecidae.
AGGCGCCGCGCUGGCAGCACCGCGGUCAGGGCGAGGAAGCUGCCGGCGAGGUGAGGUGACUGUCGCGGAGGUGGCCAGGAGCCCUGAAAGACUUGUGCCUUGGACACAGCAAAAUCUGCAGGUUGCAGAAAGUCUCAACUGAUCCUGGCAUACCCCGAGAUGCCGACUUUUAGAGCUGAAGAUGCAAGAAAGAUCGGGACCCUGCGAUGCACCGACCACCUUCUCUCUGGCGGUUACAUUACAAGAUGAAGAAGGGGAAACGUUUUCCACCUCAUCCCUCAGGUCCUACUGCAACAUAACUUUCUUGAGGUAAGUACCUUUCCUUUGUGUUUCCUUAAUACUCUCUAUUUCCCCCAUCACAUACACUAAAAAGGUUAUCUUUGGUGCAUCUGUAUUU